AGGGCGGAAACCCUCUAACACUUAGCACUCAUCGUUUACGGCGUGGACUACCAGGGUAUCUAAUCCUGUUCGCUCCCCACGCUUUCGCGCCUCAGCGUCAGUUACAGRCCARAGAGUCGCCUUCGCCACUGGUGUUCCUCCACAUCUCUACGCAUUUCACCGCUACACGUGGAAUUCCACUCUCCUCUUCURCACUCAAGUUUCCCAGUUUCCAAUGACCCUCCCCGGUUGAGCCGGGGGCUUUCACAUCAGACUUAAGAAACCGCCUGCGCGCGCUUUACGCCCAAUAAUUCCGGACAACGCUUGCCACCUACGUAUUACCGCGGCUGCUGGCACGUAGUUAGCCGUGGCUUUCUGGUUAGGUACCGUCAAGGUGCGRSCAGUUACUCUCGCACUUGUUCUUCCCUAACAACAGAGUUUUACGAUCCGAAGACCUUCAUCACUCACGCGGCGUUGCUCCGUCAGACUUUCGUCCAUUGCGGAAGAUUCCCUACUGCUGCCUCCCGUAGAAGUCUGGGCCGUGUCUCAGUCCCAGUGUGGCCGAUCACCCUCUCAGGUCGGCUACGCAUCGUUGCCUUGGUGAGCCAUUACCUCACCAACUAGCUAAUGCGCCGCGGGCCCAUC
Molecule: ribosomal RNA, 624 nt
Filed under: Bacillus sp. N300II
Lineage: Bacteria; Bacillati; Bacillota; Bacilli; Caryophanales; Bacillaceae
Description: partial 16S ribosomal RNA
Source: RNAcentral